This 273-nucleotide ribosomal RNA is filed under the name uncultured bacterium. Its description in RNAcentral is "partial 16S ribosomal RNA". It matches the Rfam family "Bacterial small subunit ribosomal RNA", at positions 524 to 796 of the family's 1533-position model. The record is from RNAcentral.
GACGAACCGUGCGAACGUUGUUCGGAAUCACUGGGCUUAAAGGGCGCGUAGGCGGACGACCAAGUCAAGGGUGAAAUCUUUCGGCUCAACCGGAAAACAGCCCCUGAUACUGGCCGUCUUGAGGGAGGUAGGGGCAUGCGGAACUUCCGGUGGAGCGGUGAAAUGCGUUGAUAUCGGAAGGAACUCCGGUGGCGAAAGCGGCGUGCUGGAUCUCUUCUGACGCUGAGGCGCGAAAGCCAGGGGAGCAAACGGGAUUAGAAACCCGCGUAGUCC